Molecule: long non-coding RNA, 654 nt
Organism: Oxyura jamaicensis (ruddy duck)
Lineage: Eukaryota; Metazoa; Chordata; Aves; Anseriformes; Anatidae
Exons: 4
Source: RefSeq, a predicted model, not a curated record
AUUCUUCAGUCAAUGUCUCUUUAAAGUGACGUGCAGAAAAGACUCCACAACCAUAGGGUUGUAAGUAGGUAUACUUCUAUUGCGGUGCACCGGGCACACAGGGAAUAGCUUUCCUCAAAAAGUGCGCCCCUGCCCGGUCGUCUCUCACAAUUUUAUACAUGAAUACUGUUACAUAUUACAUGAGCUCUCAUACAUGUUCAUUCUUUCCCCCCAAAAGGCGGACCUCUUCCAAGUACUCAUUUCCAUACUCCCCGCCCUUAGCUCCUCCCGGUUGUGCCUGUGCAAUGUAGCCUGGUGGUCGUGGGCAGGGGUCUUUCAGGAUGAAGGCAAUGAGGAAGAGGAGGUUAAAUUUUUUACCUUUCUGGACUUUGACCUUCUGUUGGACAGUAUUUAGGCCUUUUCUUGCUUAUCUUUGCCUUGUUUCCUGCCAACAAAUGGUUCAUCCUUCCCUAAUGAGUUGUUUGUUGUUCCCUCAUCCAUUGGCCUUGAGCGCUAUCUUCCUUUUUACAGCUGCUUCUCAUAAGGUUCUCAUCUACAUCCCUGAUAAUUAGGGUAUUUUUAGGUUCUCAUCUACAUCCCUGAUAAUUAGGAUAUUUUACCAUAUAUGUAGCUAAAUAUUAAUUUGGAUAAGUUUUAUCAUCUUUCCCAUCUCAA